AUUGAACGCUGGCGGCAGGCUUAACACAUGCAAGUCGAACGAGCGGCGGACGGGUGAGUAAUGUCUGGGAAACUGCCUGAUGGAGGGGGAUAACUACUGGAAACGGUAGCUAAUACCGCAUACCAUCGGAUGUGCCCAGAUGGGUUUAGCUAGUAGGUGGGGUAAAGGCUCACCUAGGCGACGAUCCCUAGCUGGUCUGCGAGGAUUACCAGCCACACUGGAACUAAGACACGGUCCAGACUCCUACGGGAGGCAGCAGUGGGGAAUAUUGCACAAUGGGCGCAAGCCUGAUGCAGCCAUGCCGCGUGUAUGAAGAAGGCCUUCGGGUUGUAAAGCACUUUCAGCGAGGAGGCGUUACCCGCAGAAGAAGCACCGGCUAACUCCGUGCCAGCAGCCGCGGUAAUUC
Molecule: ribosomal RNA, 406 nt
Filed under: uncultured bacterium
Lineage: Bacteria
Description: partial 16S ribosomal RNA
Rfam family: Bacterial small subunit ribosomal RNA
Source: RNAcentral